Molecule: long non-coding RNA, 723 nt
Organism: Papaver somniferum (opium poppy)
Lineage: Eukaryota; Viridiplantae; Streptophyta; Magnoliopsida; Ranunculales; Papaveraceae
Exons: 4
Source: RefSeq, a predicted model, not a curated record
GGAGGCGGGAUUGAUUUCAGAAGACAUCACCAUCUCAGUUUGCGUAGCAGAAUUAGAUGCAGAUGAAAUGGAAAAAUAUUUGCUGAGUUGAUUUUGAGGGACUCACAGAUAUCUUGCGAAAAUCCUCUAUAAAAUUAGAUAUCUUGGCUCAAGGAUGUUGUCGUGCUGCUAAUGUUGGACUAAUAGUGGAAAAGAUGCCAGAACUACAAGAAUGUAUUGAUGCGGAUUAAAUGGCGUCGAAUGCUCUCAAUUAUCACUAUGGCUACAACGAGUUACUGAUAAGUGUUUUGAUCCGUGAAUAAUAGUAUCAUGGUGGAGGACUAAAGAAGUAUUAUGGUCAGAUAUUAAUCAUCUUUUAUGCGGCGAUGGUGGUGGAGGUGGUUAUGGUGACAGUGGGGACGUCAACAAAGAUGGAGGCUCUGGGUCGGAAAGACAUCAACAACAAUGGAAACAGUUUGCAGUGUGUACUGAAAGGAUCUGUAUACACUUUGCUGCCAAGCUCAUGUACUAAGAAGCAACCGUGUAAACAUUAAUUGAUAUAGAAGGUGAGGAAAUUAUCCAUGUAGUCACAAAAUGAAUAUCAAGUAACUGUUUCUCAGUAGUUGUUUCACUAUUUGAACACUUAAUGAGAAAGAGGUGGUGAAUUAUGUAGCAUUCCUGAUGCCAAUACUAAAUAGUAACGUACUGUAAACUAUGCGAGUUGUCAACUUCAAAAUACUUAAG